This is a long non-coding RNA of Syngnathoides biaculeatus (alligator pipefish), 2280 nucleotides long. RefSeq lists it as uncharacterized. The record is from RefSeq and is a predicted model, not a curated record. Lineage: Eukaryota; Metazoa; Chordata; Actinopteri; Syngnathiformes; Syngnathidae. The transcript has 3 exons.
CAAUAAGUAAAGCUAGUCGGUGUACGGGUGCUACAUUCAAAUCAAUCUGUCGGAUUGGUGGAAGAUAAAUAACAAGCGAAGAAUUCAAGGUCAAGGACAUUGCAACAGAAAGUAUCAAAGCAAUGAUUCCAUGUUAGUACAAUACAGUAUUGUCUUCCUCUGUGUGUUUAAUGGGGAGUGUGAAGUAGAGCAUGUAAACAGGAGCUGGGCUUCAUUUGCAAUGAAAAGUUGCAUGAGUGACCCGGCGUGGGGGGAUCGGUGAAAAUGGGCGACAUCCGGAACCAAAAUGGUGGAAUUGUCCCUGCGUGAGUGCACCUAAGGUUAAGGUGACCAUCUCUCUCGUACACAGGGGCAGCAGGACCUCCGUUUCUUGGAUGGAAAUGACCUCGACGUGAGCAUUCAUCAAAAGAGUGGAUGUGUUUGCUCAGGACACAUGCAGUCCCAGAGCAUCCGAUUUCCAAGACUCUGAUGCCCAUUGACUUCAGUCAUGAAAGAGAUCGUCCGACAGCAACCCCCACCCCCUUUCGACAUAUACUUUACAAUCGUAAAACUUCACUCUUGCACCGUUGACCAAUAUUUUCCCAUGGGUGAGUGCCCUUAUUUUGGCCUUGAGCACCUGCCCUCUAAAAUCUCUGUGUAUGUCCCUGAAAAAAGUGUUGCUUUUCCCCCAAGGAACCAUGUUGAAGGGAGUUGAGGAGUUUCAUCUAGACAAAAGUACUGCUUUGCUUUCAUCAUGUGACAUCUCGGUGCAAGGAACUAUGUUGAAGUGAGUUGAGUAGUUUAAUUUCGACAAAAUUAGUGCUUUGCUACAAUCUUGGUGUCAAGGAACUAUAUUCAAGUGAGUUCAAAGGUUUCAGACAGAAGUAAAGUUUUUCCACAAUUUUGGUCCCAAGGAGGUCAAUACUGUAUAGUGAAGUGAGUUGAGUUUAAAUUUCUUUUUUUGGGAGCCAUAAAUUACUUGUGGAUUUACCCUCUUCUACACUAUUCUUGUGAACUAUCAACUAAUAUUGGAGCUGUUGUUUUAAGGUCAAACAAUAACACGAUGUUGCUUUAAAUCCACUUUCCCCGUUAAUUGCCACUGUUGCUCACCCACUUUAUUAUGAAGAAGCACUAAUGAUUAAUGUCAUCAAGAAAUGCAGAGAGAUGAGAUUUUUAACCCCUUGUUUUGUGUGAUCCUCACAUCACACGUUCGCCACUCUGUCAAUUAAAUGGUAAUAAUAAUAAUAAUGAUGAUAAUAUACAGUGCCGCAGGCCCCCAACUUACAAGUUACAAAAUACACGUCUUUUUUUUUUUUUUUGCUUUGACUUGUGAGCAAAAAUUUGUGAGCAUUGUAUAUUAGCACUAAACCCACUCAACUCACUCCACAAUGAGUGUCACUUGGCCUGAUAGUAAAAAAAUAUUCCCCCCCAAAAAAGCUUCAAGCUGCAACAACUACAUACUUUGCUAUAGUUAAGUCUGCUUAGGUAAAUACUAACAAAAUAGCAUUGCUGUUACAUUGUAAUACCCCUUUAAUGAUGGUAAUUUGAACAAAAACGAUGCAACAAAACACAAAGCCAAACAAUACAACAAAAUUCACAAGCAUAUUCUAUAUAUCAUCUCCGAAAUUGACCAAACCUACUGCCCCUAACUGAGGGCUGUUGCAGUUUUUCUAUCCGGUUGUCUGAAUUAUACUGCUCCCAGGUGGCAGUGGCACACAAAACAGGAGCAGCACAAUGUCCAUUAAAAAGAAGCAAAAAAAAAAUCUGCAAAAACUGCUUCAUUUCCUUCAUUCUAUUUAAUGACAUCUUUACUAUAUGAUUUUAUACAAUACAAUCUUGUAGAGUGCUGUUUUCAAUGAUUUAAAAAAAACCUGUGAAAUUUGUUGAACAACAACAAAACCACAUCAUUGAUGACACCGACGCAUUGAGCCACAUUAUCUGACAAUCUGCGCGAGUCAGCGCAAAAAGCUCGCGUUAAACCUGCUCAUCCUGUGCUCGAUUGUUGCUUGAGGGGCUGUUAGCACACAGGCGUCAGUGCGGGAGAAGAUAAGCGGUGUGUUCUCCUGGCGGGGGUAAUUGUUGUACUGCACAAAUACACGCACGGAGAAACUUGUCCAAUAAGCAGGAAGCAUGCCGAAUGAUGACUAAUGUGAAGUUAGGUCACUGCAACUAGUUAUUCCUAAUCUCAAAUCUUAAUUCCCACACAGCCUUAUACUGUAUUCUACAUUUUGAUAUUUUGCUGUAUUUACGCUAUAAUUAAAACCAGUUGGACCAUAAAGUCAUUAAUAGGGAAGGAUUAUU